CCUACGGGUGGCUGCAGUGGGGAAUAUUGGGCAAUGGGCGCGAGCCUGAAGCAGCCACGUAGCGUGAAGGAUGACUGCCCUCCGAGUGGUAAACUUCUUUUAUAGAGGAAUAAAGUGAGGCACGUGUGCCUUUUUGUAUGUACUUUAUGAAUAAGGAUCGGCUAACUCCGUUCCGGCCGCCGCGGUAAUACGGAGGGUCCGAGCGUUAUCCGGAUGUAUUGGGUUUAAAGGGAGCGUAGAUGGGUUGUUAAGUCAGGUGUGAAAGCUUGCGGCUCAACCGUAAAAUUGCAAUUGAUACUGGCAGUCUUGAGGACAGUGGAGGUAGGUGGAAUUCGUGGUGUAGGGGUGAAAUGCUUAGAUAUCACGAAGAACGCAGAUGGCGAAGGCAGCUGACUAAACCGCCACUGACAGUGAUGCUCGAAAGUGUGGGUAUCAAACAGGAUUAGAUACCCGUGUAGUC
Molecule: ribosomal RNA, 460 nt
Filed under: uncultured bacterium
Lineage: Bacteria
Description: partial 16S ribosomal RNA
Rfam family: Bacterial small subunit ribosomal RNA
Source: RNAcentral